Molecule: ribosomal RNA, 745 nt
Filed under: uncultured bacterium
Lineage: Bacteria
Description: bacterial SSU rRNA
Rfam family: Bacterial small subunit ribosomal RNA
Source: RNAcentral
ACGCUGGCGGCAGGCCUAACACAUGCAAGUCGAGCGGAUGAGAAGAGCUUGCUCUUCGAUUCAGCGGCGGACGGGUGAGUAAUACCUAGGAAUCUGCCUGGUAGUGGGGGACAACGUUUCGAAAGGAACGCUAAUACCGCAUACGUCCUACGGGAGAAAGCAGGGGACCUUCGGGCCUUGCGCUAUCAGAUGAGCCUAGGUCGGAUUAGCUAGUUGGUGAGGUAAUGGCUCACCAAGGCGACGAUCCGUAACUGGUCUGAGAGGAUGACCAGCCACACUGGAACUGAGACACGGUCCAGACUCCUACGGGAGGCAGCAGUGGGGAAUAUUGCACAAUGGGCGCAAGCCUGAUGCAGCCAUGCCGCGUGUGUGAAGAAGGCCUUAGGGUUGUAAAGUACUUUCAGCGAGGAGGAAGGGUUCAGUGUUAAUAGCACUGUGCAUUGACGUUACUCGCAGAAGAAGCACCGGCUAACUCCGUGCCAGCAGCCGCGGUAAUACGGAGGGUGCAAGCGUUAAUCGGAAUUACUGGGCGUAAAGCGCACGCAGGCGGUUUGUUAAGUCAGAUGUGAAAUCCCCGAGCUUAACUUGGGAACUGCAUUUGAAACUGGCAAGCUAGAGUCUUGUAGAGGGGGGUAGAAUUCCAGGUGUAGCGGUGAAAUGCGUAGAGAUCUGGAGGAAUACCGGUGGCGAAGGCGGCCCCCUGGACAAAGACUGACGCUCAGGUGCGAAAGCGUGGGGAGCAAAC